UGGUGGAGUGAUUUGUCUGGUUAAUUCCGUUAACGAACAAGACCCCUGCCUGCUAAAUAGCUCAGUGAGUGAAUAUUCACUCACUGAUAGCUUCUUAGAGGGACGUGCAUUCUAUUAGAUGCAGGAAGAUAGGGGCAAUAACA
RNAcentral lists this ribosomal RNA (143 nucleotides) under uncultured eukaryote. Its description in RNAcentral is "partial 18S ribosomal RNA". It matches the Rfam family "Eukaryotic small subunit ribosomal RNA", at positions 1299 to 1458 of the family's 1831-position model. The record is from RNAcentral.